GCUAAGAAAUGUUGGAUUACUAAGCUCGUCCGUUGAUGAAGAAUGUAGCUGGCUGUGAGAAAUAGCGUGAACUGCAGAACACAUUGAUCACAAAGACUUUGAACACUCUUGAUGCCCCGGGUUCCUCCAGGGCACGGGUGUCA
This 143-nucleotide ribosomal RNA is filed under the name Columba livia (rock pigeon). Its description in RNAcentral is "5.8S ribosomal RNA". It matches the Rfam family "5.8S ribosomal RNA". Rfam says of the family: 5.8S ribosomal RNA (5.8S rRNA) is a component of the large subunit of the eukaryotic ribosome. It is transcribed by RNA polymerase I as part of the 45S precursor that also contains 18S and 28S rRNA. The record is from Rfam by way of RNAcentral. Lineage: Eukaryota; Metazoa; Chordata; Aves; Columbiformes; Columbidae.